GACGAACGCUGGCGGCGUGCUUAACACAUGCAAGUCGAACGGAAAGGCCCCUUUGGGGGUCCUCGAGUGGCGAACGGGUGAGUAACCCGUGAGUAACCUGCCCUUGACUUCGGGAUAACUUCAGGAAACUGGGGCUAAUACCGGAUAGGAAUCCUUGCUGCAUGGUGGGGGUUGGAAAGCUUCGGCGGUUUUGAAUGGACUCGCGGCUUAUCAGCUUGUUGGUGGGGUAGUGGCUUACCAAGGCUUUGACGGGUAGCCGGCCUGAGAGGGCGACCGGCCACAUUGGGACUGAGAUACGGCCCAGACUCCUACGGGAGGCAGCAGUGGGGAAUAUUGCACAAUGGGCGGAAGCCUGAUGCAGCAACGCCGCGUGCGGGAUGACGGCCUUCGGGUUGUAAACCGCUUUCAGCAGGGGCGAAGCUUGUGGUGACGGUACCUGCAGAAGAAGCACCGGCUAACUACGUG
This 465-nucleotide ribosomal RNA is filed under the name uncultured bacterium. RNAcentral's name for it is "partial 16S ribosomal RNA". It matches the Rfam family "Bacterial small subunit ribosomal RNA", at positions 28 to 507 of the family's 1533-position model. The record is from RNAcentral.